GACGAACGCUGGCGGCGUGCUUAACACAUGCAAGUCGAACGGAAAGGCCCUGCUUUUGUGGGGUGCUCGAGUGGCGAACGGGUGAGUAACACGUGAGUAACCUGCCCUUGACUUUGGGAUAACUUCAGGAAACUGGGGCUAAUACCGGAUAGGAGCUCCUGCUGCAUGGUGGGGGUUGGAAAGUUUCGGCGGUUGGGGAUGGACUCGCGGCUUAUCAGCUUGUUGGUGGGGUAGUGGCUUACCAAGGCUUUGACGGGUAGCCGGCCUGAGAGGGUGACCGGCCACAUUGGGACUGAGAUACGGCCCAGACUCCUACGGGAGGCAGCAGUGGGGAAUAUCGCACAAUGGGCGGAAGCCUGAUGCAGCAACGCCGCGUGCGGGAUGACGGCCUUCGGGUUGUAACCCGCUUUCGCCUGUGACGAAGCGUGAGUGACGGUAAUGGGUAAAGAAGCACCGGCUAACUACGUG
Molecule: ribosomal RNA, 468 nt
Filed under: uncultured bacterium
Lineage: Bacteria
Description: partial 16S ribosomal RNA
Rfam family: Bacterial small subunit ribosomal RNA
Source: RNAcentral